ACGCUCGACACCUACGGGAGGUAGCAGUGGGGAAUAUUGCACAAUGGGGGAAACCCUGAUGCAGCGACGCCGCGUGAAGGAAGAAGUAUCUCGGUAUGUAAACUUCUAUCAGCAGGGAAGAAAAUGACGGUACCUGACUAAGAAGCCCCGGCUAACUACGUGCCAGCAGCCGCGGUAAUCUGAGCGGGCUGGCAAGGC
This 198-nucleotide ribosomal RNA is filed under the name uncultured bacterium. RNAcentral describes it as "partial 16S ribosomal RNA". It matches the Rfam family "Bacterial small subunit ribosomal RNA", at positions 328 to 539 of the family's 1533-position model. The record is from RNAcentral.